CCUACGGGGGGCAGCAGUAGGGAGUCUUCGGCAAUGGACGAAAGUCUGACCGAGCAACGCCGCGUGAGUGAAGAAGGUUUUCGGAUCGUAAAACUCUGUUGUUAGAGAAGAAUAAGGAUGAGAGUAACUGUUCAUCCCUUGACGGUAUCUAACCAGAAAGCCACGGCUAACUACGUGCCAGCAGCCGCGGUAAUACGUAGGUGGCAAGCGUUGUCCGGAUUUAUUGGGCGUAAAGCGAGCGCAGGCGGUUUCUUAAGUCUGAUGUGAAAGCCCCCGGCUCAACCGGGGAGGGUCAUUGGAAACUGGGAGACUUGAGUGCAGAAGAGGAGAGUGGAAUUCCAUGUGUAGCGGUGAAAUGCGUAGAUAUAUGGAGGAACACCAGUGGCGAAGGCGGCUCUCUGGUCUGCAACUGACGCUGAGGCUCGAAAGCGUGGGGAGCAAACAGGAUUAGAUACCCCAGUAGUC
Molecule: ribosomal RNA, 465 nt
Filed under: uncultured Enterococcus sp.
Lineage: Bacteria; Bacillati; Bacillota; Bacilli; Lactobacillales; Enterococcaceae
Description: bacterial SSU rRNA
Rfam family: Bacterial small subunit ribosomal RNA
Source: RNAcentral